UAACAACUCACCUGCCGAAGCAACUAGCCCUGAAAAUGGAUGGGCNNCUAUAGCGUCGUGCCUAUACCGGGGCCGUCAACGGCAAAGUGGGGCGGGCCGUUCUCUCCGGAGUCGGCCCGUCCGUUACGCCUUGACGAGUAGGGUGGUCGCGGCGGUGUGCGCAGAAGGGUCUGGGCGUGAGCCUGCCUGGAGCCGCCGUCGGCGCAGAUCUUGGUGGUAGUAGCAAAUACUCUAGCGAGGACCUGGAGGACUGAUGUGGAGAAGGGUUUCUUGUGAACAGCCGUUGCACAAGAGUCAGUCGACCCUAAGCCCUAGGAGAAAUCCGAUGUCGAUGGAGAAUAAAUACACAGUCUGCUCGCUUGCGAGCUCGCUUGAAUUGAAUAUCUCCCGGCUGGGCGAAAGGGAAUCCGGUUCCUAUUCCGGAACCCGGCUGCGGAACCGCAACUUCGCGGGCGUUCGCCUGCGAGCGCUCGUCGGGGUAACCCAAAGUGGCCCGGAGACUCCGGCGGGAGGUCUGGAAAGAGUUUUCUUUUCUUUAUAAGCGUUCGAGUUCCCUGGAAUCCUAUUGCAGGGAGAUAGGGUUUGGAACGCGAAGAGCACCGCAGUUGCGGCGGUGUCUGGACCUUCCCCCCGGACCUUGAAAAUCCGGGUGAGGGCUACGCGGAAUGUCGCGCCGGAUCGUACCCAUAUCCGCAGCAGGUCUCCAAGGUUAAGAGCCUCUAGUCGAUAGAAUAAUGUAGGUAAGGGAAGUCGGCAAA
RNAcentral lists this ribosomal RNA (758 nucleotides) under Nisia sp. PCC-2008. Its description in RNAcentral is "eukaryotic LSU rRNA". It matches the Rfam family "Eukaryotic large subunit ribosomal RNA", at positions 1283 to 1921 of the family's 3401-position model. The record is from RNAcentral. Lineage: Eukaryota; Metazoa; Arthropoda; Insecta; Hemiptera; Meenoplidae.